This 540-nucleotide ribosomal RNA is filed under the name Salmonella enterica. RNAcentral's name for it is "bacterial SSU rRNA". It matches the Rfam family "Bacterial small subunit ribosomal RNA", at positions 993 to 1533 of the family's 1533-position model. RNAcentral also lists the same sequence under 1 other name. Lineage: Bacteria; Pseudomonadati; Pseudomonadota; Gammaproteobacteria; Enterobacterales; Enterobacteriaceae. The record is from RNAcentral.
GAAGUUUUCAGAGAUGAGAGUGUGCCUUCGGGAACCGUGAGACAGGUGCUGCAUGGCUGUCGUCAGCUCGUGUUGUGAAAUGUUGGGUUAAGUCCCGCAACGAGCGCAACCCUUAUCCUUUGUUGCCAGCGGUCCGGCCGGGAACUCAAAGGAGACUGCCAGUGAUAAACUGGAGGAAGGUGGGGAUGACGUCAAGUCAUCAUGGCCCUUACGACCAGGGCUACACACGUGCUACAAUGGCGCAUACAAAGAGAAGCGACCUCGCGAGAGCAAGCGGACCUCAUAAAGUGCGUCGUAGUCCGGAUUGGAGUCUGCAACUCGACUCCAUGAAGUCGGAAUCGCUAGUAAUCGUGGAUCAGAAUGCCACGGUGAAUACGUUCCCGGGCCUUGUACACACCGCCCGUCACACCAUGGGAGUGGGUUGCAAAAGAAGUAGGUAGCUUAACCUUCGGGAGGGCGCUUACCACUUUGUGAUUCAUGACUGGGGUGAAGUCGUAACAAGGUAACCGUAGGGGAACCUGCGGUUGGAUCACCUCCUUA